Molecule: non-coding RNA, 262 nt
Organism: Phalacrocorax carbo (great cormorant)
Lineage: Eukaryota; Metazoa; Chordata; Aves; Suliformes; Phalacrocoracidae
Source: RefSeq, a predicted model, not a curated record
CUCGCCACGGGCCCGGUCGCCUCCGUCGCGGGCUGCGAGCGUGUGUCCGGCCGCGGCAGCGGGGAGGGCGGCCCGAGCUGCCGCCGCCUGGACUUCGACCCUGCCCGGAUGUUUCUGGUUGAUGCACCUCAUGGGCUGCGGUCCCAGACCUGCCUGCGCAUGGCAGGUAGUAUGAUCCCCGCAGACCUCGGAGGGUCUCUGCAUGGACCAUCCACUUUUGCAGACCCUCCUUUGAGGGGAAAUAAAUUUUCUUCAGAAGGGA